AUUGAACGCUGGCGGCAGGCCUAACACAUGCAAGUCGAACGGUAACAGGAAGAAGCUUGCUUCUUUGCUGACGAGUGGCGGACGGGUGAGUAAUGUCUGGGAAACUGCCUGAUGGAGGGGGAUAACUACUGGAAACGGUAGCUAAUACCGCAUAACGUCGCAAGCCCAAAGAGGGGGACCUUCGGGCCUCUUGCCAUCGGAUGUGCCCAGAUGGGAUUAGCUAGUAGGUGGGGUAACGGCUCACCUAGGCGACGAUCCCUAGCUGGUCUGAGAGGAUGACCAGCCACACUGGAACUGAGACACGGUCCAGACUCCUACGGGAGGCAGCAGUGGGGAAUAUUGCACAAUGGGCGCAAGCCUGAUGCAGCCAUGCCGCGUGUAUGAAGAAGGCCUUCGGGUUGUAAAGUACUUUCAGCGGGGAGGAAGGGAGUAAAGUUAAUACCUUGGCUCAUUGACGUUACCCGCAGAAGAAGCACCGGCUAACUCCGUG
Molecule: ribosomal RNA, 490 nt
Filed under: uncultured bacterium
Lineage: Bacteria
Description: partial 16S ribosomal RNA
Rfam family: Bacterial small subunit ribosomal RNA
Source: RNAcentral